GUUAACUUUCUUUCUCUAUUCCGUUCAUCAUCAAUUCUUCACCAUCAUCAUCAAUCGCCCAAUUCAACACUUAUUCUCAGAAUCUUCAUCUUAGGCUGGCUUCCAAAUAUGAAUGAUAUUUUCUACAUUCAUGGUAGUUUGCUGAGAAGAUUUCAUCUAUUUAUCUAAUCUUCAUCGAAUUCGGCAACACCUUGAAUGUGGCAGCAUUGAUGUUCCAAUCGCAGCUUUAUGUGAGUCUCUCUUACUCUUCUUCCUUUUUUCCUCUGGCAACUUAUUAUUGUGUUGCGUGUGAGGUGUUUGAUAAUUUGACUCAAUGAAAUUUUACUCUAUUAUUUUGCAAUUGUGUGCUUAUCCAGGAAUUAGGUGGAUGAACUGUUAUUUCCGUAUUAGACGAUGCCACUGCCGUGUGAGUAUCUCCCAACAAAUUUGUUUAAAUUUCAAAAUGAUCCUUUAAAUUGAAAAUCUUCGUUCACGUAUGUGAUAUUUUGAACUCUCCACCGAUGCAAAGUGAGUCUGAAGGUAAAUAUUAUUGUCCCCCUUGUUUCCAUUAUGUCUGUAUGUUAUCUACAUCAAUAGGUAUGUACACACUGAAUAUAUAUAUACAGAAAAAUAAUUUUUGCUGCACCAACGGUAGAUAAAAGUGAAAUACUGGCUCUUGUAGGCGAUAAGAUGGAUUCUUUGAUCCUUUAUAAUCUAUGAUUAAAUGGUUGCGUUAUUGAUGAGUCAUAAUUAUGCAUUUCGCAUUGAACUUAGGAAUAAAACGAUUAAUUCUUAAAUCAAGUAGAACUUCUCUUUCAUGAAUGUUGUGUUCAAUAAUCGGUGAUUAGCUAUUUGAAAGUCAUCACUGCAUUUGUUGGUAUCAUAUGAAGUUGUCCAUGAUGGUGAUUAUGAUCUGUUCAAUUUUAGGGCUCAUUCUAUUUCUAUGCAUCCUGAUAACUUAUAUGGGCAUAUGCAGAAUUACUGAAGUGUCCACGAAAAUAGAACCAGUGCAGGAGAAAAAAUAAAGAGCUUAGCACAAAUAGGAUUUUUGAAGUUAUUUAGUGGUUGCCUUAUCGCAUUUGAAGGUUUGCAGGUUAUUUCUUUGUUUACCCUUUGAAUCUCUUUGAUAUUGCUGAAUAAUAACUGUAGUCUCUUAGAUAGAUCUACUCAAUAGAUAAAACUUGGACAAAGUAAAGUAUAUGCAAAAUCAGAACUCUACCAAAUCCACCAACUUCCAAUAGCCCCUUUUCCAUGAAACCCUUUGUAGCAAAGUAUAGAUCUUUGAACUUAAAUCUAUGAGGGCCAUAUUCAUGUUCCCAAUCUUCAAGAAUCUCAGCAAACAUCUUCCGUUUGAUAUAAUAUAUAACCCUAAAGUUAUCAUGAAUAGCGAACUAAGCAAAAUCAAAGGCAACCCAACAGUUAAAAAUUUAGACUUUUUUUUUUCUCAUCAAAUAUACUUAGCUCAGGAGCAAAUAUUCUUGGCUCAGGAAGUUCAGAGAUUUCAAGGUUUUGAGCUUGGCUAUUAACCUUAAAACUCCAACCAAGAAUAUAAUGAGAAGCUACAAUUAACCCUGUUGAAGAUGAGAAUCCAACAUACAUUCUAUUGUUGAGUAUUGGAGAAAGAUCUUUGGUCAAUGAUAACAAAGGUUGUGUUGGUUUAUCACUAAAACCAACACUAAUUGGAGCUAAAGUAACAUCAUAAUAUCCAUACCUGCAUAUCCACUGGAAAGGGAUAAAUUCCUGAAUCCAUAAUCAUCAUAAUAUCCUGCAGGAGUUGAAUUAGCUGAUUUCAAAUCAUUGAUAUCAAUACCAAUAUGGUUAUCAUUGAUUUCAUCAAACUCAAAAUUUUGAUCAGUGUCAAGCUCAAUACCAAAAACAUGGCUGCUACUGUUUCCAUUGUUGGAAUUGUUAGAGACCAAGGUAUUAAUAUUGUAGUGAAUUUGGUAGCCCUUUUGUAGGUGAAAUAACAAAAACAAUUCCAUGGCCACUAUGAGUUGGAUAUUAAGAUUUUAUAGCAAAUAAAGAAUUAGUUGAGAAAGAAGACACACUUUCACUGAGUGUUUUUGAAAACUAUAGGAUUUGGAUAGAAAGCAUUGCCAUCAAGAUAUAAAUGUGAUGAUUGGAAUCCACUUUAUUUAUAGAUAAAGCAACAUGAACACAAGUCUGAGGAACAUGAUUAUAGUUUGAGAAUGAAUCAUGCUUCUGUAGUUCUGUUCGAGUGUUCGGUGUUUAUUAUUUAUAAGAUUUUGUGCUAAGUGAAGGAAAAAUUGCAUGUCUAAUUCGGGUCCUACUAAGAAAUUUCCUAGAACCUAGCUACGAAUUAUUACUAAAAGAAACAUCACAUGGUUACUAAAAUUGCCUUAUCAUCUGGGUCCUACUAAGAAAUGUCUCAUUUAGUUUAGUGAAGAGAAUGUGUUAUACAUUUGAAUCACAAUUUUUUUUUAUUUUUUUUCCAACAGUAGUAGUGGGUGAAUGUUUUUUUAACAUUUACAUAUUAAGUGUUUGAUGCUAAAUUGAAUAUGUGAAAUUUAAUUAUCAAUGUGUUCUAAUUUCUUAGAAUAAGUAGUGUUUUUUUUUAAUCCUGAAUGUGUGGACUUGACCAGUUACUAUUGAUUAUUGAUUAUGCUUCAAAUCAAAUGAUGAAUGAAUAUGUGGUGGAAAGAUAAAAAGAUAUAUGUUGGUUUGACUCAAUUUCAUACUCACUCCGUCUCUAAAUAUAAGACUCCUCUACAAAUUACUAAAUACAUUUAUUGCUCUUUUUUUUCCAAUAUACUAUCAAUUUAUCUAAGAAUAUGAAAAUUAACUUUGAAUGCACUUUUAUAAAAAGGGUAAUUUAGAAAUAGUAACACACAUUUCAGACAAAUUUAUUACUCGAAAGACUUUUUUUAGUACCCGUGAUUUUUGUAAAGUGUUCUUCUAAAAAAGGAUGGAGGGAAAAUUUUUCUUCAUGCAAAAAUCAUGGUGAAAUUUCGAGCCACAUGUUCCAUCGGUCACAUGUGUUGGCAAAUUGCAGGGAGAUGGAGGCAAAUCACCGGGUAAUUUACUCGUGAUUGACAGCUAUAAAAUACAAUUUUAGACCUGGUUGUUUUGCAAUCUUUCUACUCUAAAGGAGUUAAGGAACUAAUAGGGUGAGGGUUGAGUGUUUUGCAUGAUAUUCUUAUGUUGGAAAACAUCAUGAGAUCUCAUUAGAGUAAAUAUCAAACUCUUUUUCUAGUUUUCUCCUUAGAUCUCAAUUUAGGUUUUAGUGACUUGAAAAAUGGAUAGAAAUUAGAGAUUGUUCUUAUUGUCUACAAGAAUGGUAAAGGUAUUCUUUACCUAGGGCUUUGGUCAAUUUACUCUCAAAUUGUUUCAAACAAACUAAUUUGGCUGAAAUUUUUUUAAUUUCAGGGAUCAUUUUAGAAGUAUGAGUAAUUUGGUUGAAAUUCUUUUAAUUUCAGGGAGAUGAAUGGAAAAUUGAAAUUUAUCACAGCAUUCGUUGGUAAAGUAUGAAGUCGUCCAUGAUAGUGAUUAUGAUGUGUUCAAUUUUAGGGCUCAUUCUAUACAUCCCGUUAACUUAAUCUUAUAUGUGCAUAUGCAGAACUACUGAAGUGUUGAAGAAAAUCGAACGAGUAAAGGAGAAAAGAUGAAGAGCUUGUUUGAGUCUUUAGAACAAAUAUAAUUUCUGAAGUUAUUUAGUGGUUGCCUUAUUGCAUUUGAGGUUUUGCAGGUUAUUUCUUAGUUUACCCUUUGAAUCUCUGUGAUAUUACUGAACAAUAAUUGUAGUCUCUCGUUUACUCAAAAUAGAUACAAACUUGGACGCAAUGAAGUAUAUACAAAAUCAAAACAAAAAAAGUUUAAUGAGAAAAUGAUUUUAUGUAACUAUUAAACCAUUUACUCAAACAUGAUUUCACUUUUUAGAUAACAAACUCUCUUUAAUCCUUUUUACCAAAAUUUAAUACAUUACAAAAUCAAAAUGCACCAAUUAAGCAUCAAUUAGACGUGUCUUUUGAAAUCAACGACCACCCGAGAGAACAGAUUCAGCAAUUAACGCUGAAGUAUAUGGCAUUCUCCUGUCCUCAACAAAUAAUUGGUACCCAAAAGUUAAACCAGAAGAAGAUAAACUAAGCGAAGAAAAAUCUGGCAAAGGUGUAUCCCUCUCCAAAUACUGUACAACUUGUCUCAUACUUGGUCUAGCCAAAGGCUCUGAAUGUGAACACAACAAGCCAAGUUUCAACACCAAUUCCACCUCUUCAGACACAUAAUUUGUUCCUAAAUGAACAUCUUUUGCCUCAAGAAUCUCACCUCUUUGCCAACAUUCAAACACAGAAUCAACUAGAAUUAGACUCUCAUUGUCUCCUACACGACCUAUAGGCCUCCUACCACAAACAACCUCAAGAAGAAAUGCACCAAAAGAAAACACAUCAGAAAAUUUAGUAGCCUUACCUCUUCUAAUAUGUUCAGGAGCAAGAUAACCAAUAGUUCCAGCCAAAUGAGUUGUGUGAGGAUCAGCACCAUGAUCAUGCAACCUUGAAAGACCAAAAUCUCCCAAUCUAGCAUUAAAUCCAGAAUCUAACAACACAUUACUAGCCUUUAUGUCUCUAUGAAUAACAACUUUCUCCCAUUCUUCAUGAAGAUAAACCACACCUGAAGCAACACCUUUGAUGAUUCUAAAUCUUUGACUCCAAUUCAACCUCACUUUUGGUUGGUUAUAUAGAUAGUUGUCUAAACUUCCAUUCGGCAUGUAAUCAUAAACCAAAAGUAACUCGCUUUUUCGCCUGCAAUAGCCAUGAAGUUGAACAAGAUUCCUGUGCCGAAGACGACCGAUACUAACAAUUUCCGACACAAAUUCCCUCAUCCCUUGUCUUGAUUCAUGAGACACCCUUUUCACAGCAACCUCAAGUUUGGAACUUUGUAUCACACCUUUGUAGACUCUACCAAAUCCACCAACUCCCAAUAGCCCCUUUUCCCUGAAACCCUUUGUGGCUGAGUAUAGAUCUUUGAACUUAAAUCUACGUGGGCCAUAUUCAUGUUCCCAAUCUUCAAGAACCUCAUCAAACUUCUUCAAUUUGACAUAAUACAUAACCCCUAAAGUUAUCAUGAAUACCAAACUUAGGAAAAUCAAUGGCAAUCCAACAGUUAAAAAUUUCGACUUUUUUUUCUCUGCAGGUAGUUUAGGAAGUUCAGAGAUUUCAAGGUUUUGAGCUUGACCAUUAACCUUAAAACUCCAACCAAGAAUAUACUGAGAAGCUACCAUUAACCCUGUUGAAGAUGAGAAUCCAACAUACAUUCUAUUGUUGAGAAUUGAAGAAAGAUCUUUGGUCAAUGAUAACAAAGGUUGUGUUGGUUUAUUACUAGCACCAACACUCAUUGGUGCUAAAGUAACAUCAAUCUUUUUCUUCACUCCAUCAUAUUCAAUCCAUACCUGCAUAGGGUAUCCACUGGAAAGGGAUAAAUCCUUGAAUUGACCAUAACCAUCAUAAUAUCCUGCAGGAGUUGAAUCAGCUGAUUUCAAAUCAUUGAUAUCAAUUCCAACAUGGUUAUCGUUGAUAUCAUCAAACUCAAAAUUUUGACGAGUGUCAAGCUCAACACCAAAAACAUGGUUGCUACUGUUUCCACUGUUGGAAUCGUUAAAGAGACCAAGGUAUUGACUUGGUAGUGAAUCUGGUAGCCCUUUUGUUGGAGAAAUAACAAAAACAAUUCCAUGGCCACCAAUAUUUGCAUAUUGAGGUAUUAUGGCAAAUAAAAAAGUAGUUGAGAAAGAAGACACGCUUUCACUGGAAGUGUUUUUGAAAACUAUUGGAUUUGGAUAGAAACCAUGUCCUUUGUCUCUUUCUGUAUCAUUGGUGAGUUUUAGUAAGCCAUUUGUAGUUAACUCAGCAAUACCAUCAAGAUAUAAAUGUGAUGAUUGGAAUCCAUUAUAUAUGAAACUGUUGUCUUCACUUGCAACCAAUGUAACAUGAAAAAACAACAUGAACACAUGUCUGAGGAACAUGAUUAUAGGUUGUGAAUAAUAAUGCUUAUACAGUUCGGUUCAUUGUUUCUUAUUUAUUAUUUUUUAUUUAUAAUAUUUUGUCCUAUUGCUAGUCUCAUUUGGGACCUACUAAUAAGUGUCCCUUUACCUAACUUAGCUACGUAUUAUCACCAAAAGAAACAUCAAAUCAAAUGGUUACUAAAAUUGCGUAUCUCAUUUGAGUCAAUUUAAGUGGUGGAAGGAUGGAUAAAGAUAAUGUUGGUUUUGACUAAAAUGACUGGGGCAGUUUUUAAAGGAGAUAAUUUUUAGGAAACUUGGAAGUUAAGAGUUGAGUUGGAAAGAUUCUUUCUUCCUCUAACAUAGGUCAUUUUGGGCCGAAUUAGGUAAACAAUUUGAAAAUCGCUCUUUAAGCUUGAAAAAUUGUUCUCUUGCACCUUAAAAUUUCAUUAAUACCCCCAACAGCAAUGAAUUAUCGUCGCUACCCAGCAGCAGUUAAUUGUCGUUCGGUCUUUUUGCAACCACAAUUGUGUUCAACUGCAGUUGCGUUCGAGACUUAUUCUAGAACAGUAACAACACGUGUUCUGGAUUUAUUUUAUAAAAGCAAAAAUAGUUAUCACUUUUGUUUGAAACACAAAACUCCAAUCUCACUCAAAUGAAUCUCAUCCAAUUUCUUUCAUCAAAAUCAAAAGUUAUCAACUAUUCUACAAGUAAGUGUUAAUAAUCUCUUCUAUUCACAUUGUUAGUUUUAUAUAAUUUUUUUUCCUUCAAAAUUUGGUGGAAAUGUUAGUGUUUAUGAUUGGAUAAAUUAUUGAUAUUUUGGGUAGUCUGUGAUCCUAUAUAUGCAUGUUUUGACUAUAAAUGUUGUUUAAACUAAAUUUAAGUUCAAUGUUGUAGUUUAAAAGUUGAAAUAACACAAUGAAUAAAUGUUGUAUAUUUUGUACUACAAGCGUUUGAUGAAAUGCUUGAAUGAGUUUUUCAUUGAUAUUUUUAUUGUCUUUUGUUGUGUAGAUAUGACUGAGAACCUACAUAUGCGUAAAGAGACCAUGACAAGCAGUUCCCGCAAGGAGAGAGUGACAGUGAACCCUACUAAAAUCUGCAUUUCCAACGAUGUACGUCACAAACUGCCAAUGCAUUUAACCAAAUUUUUAGCAUUCUUUCUAUUUAAUUAGUUUUUCUUAUACUUUGUCUAUUUGAUCUUUUUAUCAAUUUUAAUUAUUCAGAUAUAGAUUGUUUCUUUCUACAUCUGCUGCACAAUUCACAAAUCAUGAUUUUGAUGAUGUGAUCAUCAAGGUUGGCUAGGAUAAGAAGAUUUUUGCAUCUAGUAUAUAUCUUUGAAAUGGAGAUAACUUGAUUUCCUUUCCUUACAGUAUUUUUUUAUUUUUUUAAAUCAAGGAGUAACCUUUGCGCAAAUCCUUGACGAAUCCCACGGGGUAACUGAGAUCCAAUAAUCAACGAAUGAGCUAUUUUUUAUACACAUAGUCCAGGUACCCUAAAACAAAUGUUUAAGAGACUCAAAUAUCUACCACAGUACCAGUUAUGCCACAUAUAUUGGAUGUUUCUUUAGAAUGGAUGAUUUGUAUAGAAAAGCCGACUGCAAAGGAAAAUUCAAAUAAAAACUCGUGAAUUAAUAUGUUGAAGUGUGAUUUAACAAUAAAAAAUUUAUAAGCAAAGUAAAUUAAAUAAAAUGCCUAAAAAUCCAUCUAUUCCAAUCAACUAAAUACCUUUCUGCAAAUGUAAAAAUAAUUCAAAGCAGCUACGCAACGCGCAGGUCAAAAUCUAGUUAAUCACAUAAUGUCCAUGUAUUAUGUAUAUGUACACAUAAAUCAGUGUUUUAUACCAGUGCAUUGUGGCCGGUUUACAGAUUUCAGUUUGCAGAGUGUUAUAUAGCCAGUGCUGUCAAAUUUAGAGGCGCUAUAGUGCUGCCGAAUAGAAGAAUUUGACCAAAUUGCUAUUGUUCCGUAAUAAAGCCCUUUUGUACAAAAUGUUGUCAUUAAUAAUGGCUAUAGAAGCACUAUAGUACCGUACCAUAGUAGAAUUUGAACAAACCGCUAUGCUGCAACAUUCAACACUGGUUAUAUAGUCACUGGUCAGUUAUGGUAUUUCCGGCUCGUAUUGACAUUUUUUGGCACCCCCACUGGUUGUUAGCAUUUUCGACUACUCAGCCUCAACCACACACAUUCUUCUUCUUCUUAAUCCUUUGUAUACUCAUUUGUUCAUACUUCUCUUUGCAACUUGUCUUUUUCUUUAACCCUACAUUCUUGCUCUGCAGCAACUCAAUCCCCCAUUGUUCUGUUUUUCUAUACUAGGUUGUUAAUUAUGAAUGUCUGUAAUUUUGUGUAACUUUUUUUUAUUUCUUUGAAAAUUUAUUUACAUAAAGCAUAAAAUAUUUAUGUUGGAUAUAUAAUCUUUGGUAUAGAGUUAUAUCAUCAUCUACUAUCUCUCAGUAGCGUUCGUGGGAUCUAUUACAUGUAUCAAAUGACUGCAUAAUAUUUACCAUGGGCUACAUCUAUGAAUAUAAAUUAAAACUCACGUACCUACCUAUUAGGAGAAAGAGACUACAUUAAAACAUAAACACUACAUAAAACUCGUGUAUCUAUUACACUAUUAACUCAAAUAUGAUUUUACAUUUGAUUUAACAAACUCUCCUUAAUCCAUUUUACCAAAAUCUAACGACAACCAGAGAGAAUUGAGUCGGCAAUAGACACAGAAGUCUGUGACAUUGUGUUGCCCAUAGAGGAAGGAUAAGACAAAGGAAAGUCCUCAAAAAAUUCUUGGUACCCAAAAGUUAAUCCAGAAGAAGAUAAACUAAGCAAAGACAAAUCUGGCAAAGGUAUAUCCCUCUCCAAAUACUGCACAACUUGUCUCAUACAUGGUCUAGCCAAAGGUUCUGAAUGUGAACACAACAAUCCAAGUUUCAACACCAACUCCACCUCUUCAGACACAAAGUUUGUCCCCAAAUUUACAUCUUUUGCCUCAAGAAUAUCACCUCUUUUCCAACACUCAAAUACACAAUCAACCAAAAUUACACUUUCAUUUUCCCCAACAUUAGAAAUAGGCCUUCUACCACAAGCAACCUCAAGAAGAAAUGCACCAAAAGAAAACACAUCAGAAAAUUUAGUAGCCUUACCUGUUCUAAUAUGUUCCGGAGCAAGAUAACCAAUAGUUCCAGCCAAAUGAGUCGUGUGAUGAUCUGCACCAUGGUCAUACAACCUUGAAAGACCAAAAUCUCCCAAUCUAGCAUUAAAUUCAGAAUCUAACAACACAUUACUAGCUUUUAUGUCUCUAUGAAUUACAACUUUCUCCCAUUCUUCAUGAAGAUAAACCACGCCUGAAGCAACACCUUUGAUGAUUCUAAAUCUUUGACUCCAAUUCAACCUCACUUUUGGUUGGUUGUAUAAAUAUUUGUCUAAACUUCCAUUCGGCAUGUAAUCAUAAACCAAAAGUAACUCGCUUUUUCGCCUGCAAUAGCCAUGAAGUUGAACAAGAUUCCUCUGCCGAAGACGACCGAUACUAACAAUUUCCGACACAAAUUCCCUCAUCCCUUGUCUUGAUUCAUGAGACACCCUUUUCACAGCAACCUCAAGUUUGGAACUUGGUAACACACCUUUGUAGACUCUACCAAAUCCACCAACUCCCAGUAGCCCCUUUUCCCUGAAACCCUUUGUGGCAAAGUACAAAUCUUUGAACUUAAAUCUAUGUGGGCCAUAUUCUUGUUCCCAAUCUUCAAGAAUCUCAGCAAACUUCUUCCGUCUGAUAUAAUACAUAACCCCUAAAGUUAUCAUGAAUAUCAAACUUAUCAAAAUUAAAGGCAACCCAACAGUUAAAAAAUUUGAUUUCGUUUUCUCAGCUAAUACUGGUAACUCAGGAAGUUCAGAGAUUACAAGGUUUUGAGCUUGACCAUUAAUCUUAAAACUCCAACCAAGAAUAUAAUGAGAAGUUAGAAAUGAACCAGUAGCUGAUGAAAAUCCAACAUACAUACUAUUGUUAAGAAUUGGAGAAAGAUCUUUGGUCAAUGAUAACAAAGGUUGUUUUGGUUUAACAACAUUAAUUGGAGCUAAAGUAACAUCAAUCUUUUUCUUUUCACCAUCAUAUUCAAUCCAUACCUGCAUAGGAUAGCCACUGAUAAGGCUUAUAUUCUUGAAUUGACCAUUACCAUCAUAAUAUCCUGCAGGAGUUGAAUUAGCUGAUUUCAAAUCAUUGAUAUCAAUACCAACAUGGUUAUCAUUGAUAUCAUCAAACUCACGAUUUUCAAUAGUAUCAAGUUCAACACCAAAAACGUGGUUGCUAGGAUUUCCAUUGUUGGAAUCGUCAAAGAGACCAAGGUAUGAACCUUGGAGUGAAUUUGGUAGCCCUUUUGUAGGAGAAAGAACAAAAACAAUUCCAUGGCCACUAUAAGUUGGACCUUGAUGUCUUAUGGCAAAUACAAAAGUAGUUGAGAAUGAAGAAACACUUCCAUUGGAAGUGUUCUUCAAAACUAUAGGGUUUGGAUAGAAAGCAUGUGCUUUUUCUUGUUUGGUGUCAUUGGUGAGUCUUAGUAAGCCAUUGGAGGUUAAAUUAGCAAUACCAUCAAGAUACAAAUGAGAUGAUUGGAAAUCAUUAUAGAUGAAACUUUUGUCUUCACUUGGUACCAAUGUAACAAGAAAAAACAACAUAAACACAAGCCUGAGGAACAUGAUUAUAGUUUGUGAAUAAUAAUGCUUAUACAGUUCUGUUCAGUGUUUAUUAUUUAUUAUUUAUUAUGUAUAAGAUUUUGUCCUAGGUGAAGAAAAAAUUGCAAGUCUAAUUUGGGUCCUACUAAGAAAUGUCUUGGAACCUAACUUAGCUAUGAAUUAUCACCAAAAGAAACAUCAAAUGGUUACUAAAAUCGCGUAUCUCAUUUGGGUCCUACUAAGAAAUGUCUCAUUUAGUUUAGUAAAAAUGAACUCAUUUGGGACCAUUUGAAUAGUUGUGCACAUUUGAACUACCAAUUUUUUUCCCAACUGCACAUUUUCAAUGUUUACGUAUUGAGUGUUUGAUGCUAAAUUGAAUAUGUGAAAUUAAAACAUCAAUGUCGUCUAAUUUCUUCAAAUAAGCAUAGUUUUUUUUUUUAAGUUCACACUUGAAUGUGUGGAUUUGACCGAUUACUAUUGAUUAUCUAUGAUUUGCUUGGCUGCUAAGAAAAUGAUGAAUGAAUAAGUGGUGGAGGAUGCAUAAAGAUACCGUUGGUUUUGAAUCAAAAUUUCAUAUUUUUCUUCAUGGAAAAAUCGUAGGCCAAUUAAAGUCAGCCUGUUUCAUUGGUCAUAUGUGCUGGCAAGUUGCAGGGAGAUGGAGGUAAAUCACGAGGCAAUUUACUCAGGAUUGACAACUAUAAAAUUCAGUUUUUGACAUAUUUGUCGAGCAAUCUUUCUACUCUAAAUCAGAGAAUUUUUAAGGAAUUUAGAGGUUCAGAGUAACCUUAAAAAGUAACUUAAUAACAUAACUUUGUUCUCCAAAAACUUUACUGUCUUUUCAAUUUUCUGGUUCUUCUUCAUUUCUUGUCCACCACUUUAUCAUAGCUUCUGUUUUUCACAUAUGCCCACACGACCUAAAAUGAGCUUACCAUUUUUUCUACAAUGGAGCCAUCUCAACUUUUUCUCUGCUGUUUAUUUAAUUUAUUUAAUUCAGGGUUAAAAACCAUGUAAUGGACUAAUUUUAAAACCUAACUUUCUUUUUUAGGUGCUGCACUGUCUGUAAAGAGAAGUGACAUAUUGGCUCUUGCUAUAGGUAUGAUGGACUCUUUGAUCCUCUACAAUCAAUGAUUGGUUUAUUGUGUCAUUCACGGGUGAUAAUUCUGGAUGUCACAAUGAAUGUUGGGAUAAAAUGGUUUGUUUAAAUCGAGUAAAACUUCUGUUUCAUGAAUGGUGUGUUCAUCAACUGGUAACAAUUAUAGCAACUAUAGAAGAAAGGCUUAAGUGGGGUGUGGGUUUUCCUACUAUAGGUGUUUCAAUUGUUUUACAUGCACUGAGGCAUUCUUUAGAAUCAAGUGCAUUUCAGAUAUGGCUCAAUAAAUGUUAUAUUUGAUUUAGACUGAAUCACCAUUUAAGUCUAUAAAUUACAGGGGUUGAAAUUUUUAAUGUUAGUCCUUUUGGGUCGGUCAAUAUAGUCCUUGAAAUUGUCUUGAAGAUACUAAAGUGAUUGAAAAUUUUCAAUUUCAAUGAUCAUUUUAGAAUAUGUUAAUUUUAGGGGCUAGAUUGCAUGAUGUCGUGACCAAUACUAUUAUAAGACUGAAAUAGGUUAUUCGCUCUUUCGUUUUAUGUUAUUUGAUGUGUCUAUGCUAGGUGGUGCUUACCUAAAGAUUCUUGAUGGCUACAUUAGUUCAUAUGUUGUUGCUAUCUGAUGAAUGGAAAAUUUAAAUUUGUUGGUCGAGGGUUGAGUACCUCGAUUGGUUUGAGCUAAGGGUUAAGAAGUUGGAGGUCGUCUGUUCAAAUUUUGGUAAUGUCGACAUUGUCCAUGACAGUGAUUAUAAUUAUGAUGUGUUGUUCAAUUUUAAUAUUUAAGGCUCAUUCUACGCAUGCUGAUAACUUAAUCCUGCCAAGCCCUGUAUAUUAACAUUGAUUAGUUGCUCAAUAUUACAGGUGGAUAUCUAAGCUGUAUUUCGAUGAUAUUCUAGAAAAUACAGAAGCAAAUAUAUGUCUUGUUAUCGAUGCUCGUAUUUGGAGGAUUCUAUAAAUUGAGCCAUCUUCUGCUGCUAGUUCAGGUUGAAGUUGAACUAGUGAUAAAUGAUAAAAAUAAACUAAUGUUGUGCAAAAUUAGUUCAGUGUUGCUUGUAGCUAAAAUGUUAUGCUGCCAUGC
RNAcentral lists this long non-coding RNA (12739 nucleotides) under Medicago truncatula (barrel medic). RNAcentral describes it as "long non-coding RNA (MTRU_LNC005178)". The record is from RNAcentral. Lineage: Eukaryota; Viridiplantae; Streptophyta; Magnoliopsida; Fabales; Fabaceae.